CCAAUAUUAACUCCCUUCUCUGAGAGAGUAGCCUUGCUAUGAGUGGAUGCUCCAGGCCUCAUAUUUCAGACUUUUGAUUUUCUUGAGCAGAGUUCUGGGGGCAGUGUCUAUGAAGGGAAGCAAGCUAAGGACCAGAAUGAACCAGAGACCAGUAUUCUUUCCAAGUGAGUUUAUCUCUGUUUGCUCAGCCCAGGGGCUCUUUUGGUUGUACCCUCCAACAGUCUUUACAGUUCCUAUCUGAAGUCAUCACAGGUAAGUUGAAAGAAGGAGACAGCUCCUCUUGCGGCUCAGUUAUUUUUAAUGACAUGGAACCCCCUUGAUUGUGGACCCUAUGUACUUGUAGAGGACAGGACCAGUCUGGCUCAUAGACUCUUAGCCGAUUGCAGGAUGAUGUUGGUCAGUAUCUUGAGAGCAGACUAUACCCUAUUUUAAACCAGGCCAACAUUGUGAAAGCUACUAUAAAGACUAAGGUAAGCACAAUACAGUCUUUUUGUCACCAGAGAAAAGCCGUGGGGUUCUUGUCUUUAUGCAAGAAAGAAUUUAGGCAUGAGACAGAGAGCAGAGUAGCAAGGUUUUAUUGAGGACAGGGCAUCUGUAAGAAUGGAAAGCACAAAGAGAGAGAGAGAGUGCUCAGUUGCUUGGACUGGGGGAGGUGAGGUUACUUGGUUAAAUGGAGAGAAUACAUCUGGAGGGCCAGGUAGGUGGCGCAGCAGAAAGCAGAAAGCUGAGCCCGAGGUCUUCGUUUAGACUCCUGCUUUUUAAGGGGAUCUCUCUUUACCUCCUCCCCCUUCUCCUCCAGGACAAAGGGUUUGCUGAGUGUAAUAAGUUUGUUAGACAGGAAGUCUUGCUGGCCAUAGGGCUUUCCCCCAGGGUGCCUGACUUGGAGGAGAAUAUAGAGGUUUUAUUGCUCCAUGUUAUCAGGCCAGGUAACCCAUUUGGUGCUAAAGAGAGAGCUGUCCCCUGGGAGAAGGGCUAGGACCACCACCUGAAAGGUUAUCAGGGUCUGGGCAGGACUUGGAAGUGCAGAUGCUGGGCUGCUUCUAAAGUGGGCUUCUGCAGAUGCCGGCUUCCUCAGGCCCCUCUUGCACACACACAGUCUUAUUUCAACUUCCUCCCCAACGUUUUCUCUCAAAGGCUCUCUGCUGCCUUGGUUCUUAACUCUUGACAUUUAUAAGAAUCCAGUGGAAAUUUGUUUACAAUUUUGAUUACUACCUUCCUCCCAAGCUUCUAAUUUCACAGGUCCUGGUGGAAUUCUGAGCUCCACAUUUUUAUAAAAGUCCUUAGGUUAUUCUUUUCAAGAAUCCCAUUCUGAGUAGUACGUAUUUAACAAGAGGGAACUAGAAAAGCAGAAGAGGAAUGAUGAUGAGUAGGACAAAAGGAAAUCUUUCAUCCUAGGAUUUCCAGCAAUUAUGCUCAGACAGCAAACAUUCCUUAUGUGUACCCAUGCAUAUAUUACAUGCAUUGUUCUGCUUUUAUCCAGGAGGUAAUCACACAUACAGUUUACACAUUUGCCUUUCAUUUGCACCUGCUGAAGAAAUGGCAUGCUUGUGCAUGCAACUGCUGAGUUCAGCUUGGGGAAUCCUAAUUGAAAAUGCACAACUCAAAGCAAGAGACAGGCAUAAUAAUGUAGAAAGGGUCAGUAGCCAGAUGUAUUAUUUUCUCUUAUAACUACGCUUUUCUACUGGCAGAAAAAGAGGCAGUAACAUCCCAGGUAUAUGUGGUUGCCAUAGGGAUUGUGAUUUACCGGAAAACAUUGCCACAAAUAGCAAUGAAAUAGCAAUUCGGAAGAGGUCAGAGGCACAGAUUUGCUGAAGCUACAAUCAAACCAGACAGCUGCUCAAUCCAUUCAAUAAGAAUUUUGCAGUUGCCAUUGUAAGGAAAAGACUUGGAAAGCAAGUUAAUGCCUAGCUGCAGGUGGCAUCAUGUGCCAGAGAAAUACUACUGAGGCACAUGUUUGUCCCCAGGAGACCCACUUGCUUCCUCAUCAUUACAGUGUCUGGGUCAAAAACACUCAUGAAAAUCACACAGAAGCAGUAAAACCAUGUCUCUCUUAAGUCCCUGUUGCCUCCCUUCUGAGUCACUAACCAAGCCCAGUCACCCCUGAGGCACCCAGAAUUCCUCAGAAAUGUGUUUCUGUCUGAUAAAGAGCUGGGAAUUCUAUUCAGUGACACAUUCCGCCUUGAAAUGACUCAGAGAGUCACAGAGUGCAUAACCUCACAUCGAAAGAACACGUCUGAGUCACCAAGGAUCAUUUCAGUUGACAGCACGUUGUGCCACUUAGUGUUUAUGCCAUGGGCAGUUGCUGAAAAUCUCUGCAGAGCCUCCCUCUCUACCCCAAAGAUCAUAAUAUUUUGAUGGCCACACAAUCUGUAGGUUCUAGCCUGGAACAAAGAAGGCUGAAUCAAUAAGUUAAAUAUUACAGUACACAAGAGAGGGGGACUGAAAUGAAAUCAGCUGCCUCAGUAAACAGCUCAACAUCCUAUGGAGAUUGAAGUUUUCCAUUUCCAUUUCAUUUCUAACUAGCUGUGUGAUUUUGGACAGUUGCUUGGCCUGUGUGAGCCAAUUUUAUGAUAUUUACAGAAAGGAGCUUAUUGAAGCACACUAGGUAGCUCAGAAAUUGUUGAGCAGGCAAGAGAACCAGACUCAAAGCUAAGUUUUCUAAAACAACGAUGAAAACCAUGCUGCAGGAGUGAGUUCAUGAGGACCCUCCUGCUGCUGCCUCCUCUGCCAGCGAGAACCCAUCUUCCAGAGCUUGAUCUUCCUACAGCUGCAAUUUCCUCUUGCAAACCGGGACUCUUCUAUCACCACCCAUGCCAGCAACACAAAUACCCCAAAAAGCCUCCACACUGCUACUGCUCACAUACAAGAGGAAGUCUCAUGCAGGUGCAUCUGACUGGGAGCAGAAUUAUCAACACGGGAAAUUAUGAAAAUGUAAGGAGGGGUUCAUAACACAUCAGGCAGCCACAUAUGACGGAUGUUCACAGCUGCCUUCCAAAGUGGUGAGAAUGCUCAGUGAGGUCACGUUGUAGAGCAUCCUCCACAGUGCCUGAGACACAGAGGCAGCAAAAUAGCUUUGUUUCCUUUCAUUUCAUCUCUGGUGAGGAAUUUAAAAACCCCACUCUGUAGAGGUUCAAGAGUGAUGUUAAGUGUUUUGCCUGUGUGGUGCACCUCAUAGUAUGAUGCUGAAUGUCUUUCCUUAUUGGAUCAGAGAAAUGGUUUGAGUCUCUGCAGGCUCUUUUGAGGCUUAUUUUUGCUAACGUAUUCAUCAGCAUAAAGGCCUGGAAGUCACAGGGCAAUGGGCUGCUUUUUUCCCCCCUGAUCACAAAGCAGAGAAGAGCUUCUUUGUCCCUUGAUUCUCAAAGCUUCUGGGAGUCCAUCUCCAGGUGGAGCUGGUACAGCCCCAUCGGUCUCCAUGAAGGUGGACGUUCUUAGGCCUCUCAGUGCUGACCCUGUGGCGAGUAGGUCAGGUCCCUCUUAUCCUCAGCUGAGUCAAAGGAUUGUCCUUUGUGCUUAGGAAGAGUCAUUUUGCCUGUCCCCAGGAAACGGGCAUAGAAAUAGAGAGGUGAGAGAAAGUAAUAUAUUCCCUUCUUCCCUCUAGGGCACAUCUUCUAAGGGGCAGGGUGCUAGAUUGGUUCCGUGGUGACCAUGACUUAAGUAGGAUGUUUGCCAGAGGUUCACACAGGUAAGUCACCUCUGUCAUUAAGUUGGGUUCAGAAGCAAGGGAUAAUGCCAAGAAGGUCAAGGACCAGAUCAUAGUGAGAGAGGAGUUGAAUGCAAGCCAUGGUGAGGCUCUAGGAUGACUGGUCCAUAUUUUGAUGGUGAAGACCGAAAUGUUUUAACAUGUGCUGCCUAGUGAUGAGACAUCCUGUAGAGAUUAUUAUUUGUGUAGUGAUCUGCAGCUCAUAAAGUCAUUUCACAUAGUUUAGCCUAUGUGAUCUAAAUAAUAUAAUGUGAGAAAGGUAGCUAGUAUUAUUUGCUUUUACAAUGUCACAACAAUGUUGAGUAGAAUGUAAGGGAUUUUGACCAAGGUCAUAUGGCUACUGUGUGGACUCAGGGCUCAAAUUAGAUGCCUUUUCCUUAUUUAGACACUUGAGCUUUUACUUAGCAAGUCCUUGAAAGAAUUUAAUAAAUGUAACAGGCCAAAAUAUGGGAGGAAAAUGAAGUCUGCAAGUUUUACUAAUUUUAUCUUAUAUGGGCUUACAUGGUGGGGGGGGGGAUUUUAAAUUAGAUCUCUUGCCUUAGAGUCAUUUUCUUUAGCCUAUCCAGCAAUGCUUGAGCUAUACCAAUGUGAUUUAAAACGUGCCUUUUUUUAAUAUAAUAAAGCUGGCUCACAGAGGCUAAGCAACUAGUUAGAGAUGAGAUGAAGUGGAAGAGCUGUGAUCUUCACAGAUGUUGAACUCUGGGCUGAGACAGUUUAUCUCAUUUCACUCACCCUCUCUUGUGUAUGGUAAAGGAUAUUUUUUUAAGUUUCUAAUUGAAAAUGCCAGAAUGAUGCAACCUUUGCUCUUCAGCUGUACUGAAGGAGGUUAGGGACCUUCUGUCUCAGAGUUUGUUUAGUUGUAUCGUUUUUCACACCACCCUUAAUUCUGAGAGUAGCUGCUAGUUAAUUGUGAGACAUACUGAAUUCUUUUAAUUCUCAGAAAUUUGUCCAUCCUUGGCUAUCCAGGUGCUCAGUGGAAAAGAAAUGACGACAGGCCCUCAAGGAAGACAUCCUACACUUUGGUCUGCUGAUUUUAAGUCACACACCAGUUUAGCUAACAGAUUGCUCAUGGCUUGUGAGGGUCUUGGUGCCCCAGGUAGUAGAACUACUCCGUGUUGUUACCUUGUGUGGCUCAAACAAGGCAUAAUCAGUGUGUGUGGGGAAAACCACAUUCUUCUGACUGAAUAGCCACUUCUCUGGGUUCAACAAUUCAUUGUUCCUCAAGCCAAAUACCGCUUGAUCCCAAUGUUUGCAUAUAAACCACUAUUUAGAGCAUUAGCUAUUAAUCCCAUUGCAUCACUUACCAAUCCUCACAGAAGAAAUAUUGCACAAUAUCUAUAGCAUAGCUCAUCUAGCUCAAAAUGAAUUUCCUGAAGUUUGCCAUAUUUUUCUCCAAUCCUAUUUUGUUAUAGUGACAUGUUUUUAUUGACCUACAAUCCAUGGCUACAUAUAAAUGAAUUGUAUAUCAUCUGGGGGAAACAUCAGAAUUCUCUGGAAAUCUCUUUCCCCAAAGUACAACCACUGAGAUUGUCUGUCUCCUGUGUUAAGUCUCCUCCCUUCCCUAGUUAGGUCCUUCUGAUUGAGAGUCUGCGGGUAAGGAAAGGAUCACCCUCCUAAAGUUUCCUCCCAAGCUGCUGGCCCUUUGUGCUUGGUGUUUAGGACUCCUCCAAGUUCUAAACCCAGACAGAGAGUAGUGGUGAAAGGUAAGACUGUUCCUCCCUGGCUGGGUGGUUUUGUGCUCAAUAGUUCUAGUCCCUGAUUCCACCUAUGAGAGCUGGGGGACUGGCUGGAGACCAGUCUACAUGUAUCAAUGUGAUGCUUCCAUAUCUGCUUCCAACUCCAUGACUCGAGUGGACAUCUCUCUGCCCACAGCUAUGCACAGUCAGUUCAAAAUUACAACCUGUUUUUGACAGGAUUCUGAAGAGAUCCUUGCACAGAGUUCUCUCCUGCAAGACUCACUUGUUCUAGGAAAGCACCACAUGUCAUUUGCUUUCAGAUCAACGUGUGCAGGCACUGCAGACACUCCCAGAACUGCUUUCCAGGUCUUUUUAGACCCUAGAUUUUUGAGGCCAGAGCAAUGUUGAAGUUGUCUGAGAGGCCCAUUAUGGCUCCCAUCACUAAACUUGCAGUGAGAAGGAAGCAUCACUCCCACUUGAAGAUGGGGCAGCGUACCUCACAACCUGUGACAGGUUGUCUCGUAAUAAAUCUCACCAAUGCCCUGCCUGUCCUUGCCAAAGCCUUUUCCUACUCCUAAUCAGACCAAGGAACCGAGAGUCAUGGAGCUAUCUUGGGGACAUUUCUUCAAGUAAUCUGAUAGUGGGGGAAUCACUCCCACAUUCACUUUAGUGUCAAAUUGCCAUCUCAGUGGAAGCUAAUGCAGGAAAAGUCCCAUUCAACCCUCUUGUUACAUACUGUGUUAUACACAUAAUAAAACUACCAGGCAGGUGAUAUUAAAGAAGGGGCAGACUGUCCCUUUCCAUGAGGAAAAGAGGUGGCAAAACCCAACAUAAGAAGCUAUUUCCAAUUUCUGUGUUUAUGAGAUUUCUAGAUAAUCCCAGUCGGGAUGCCAUUCUUUAUCCCAUGCUGGCUGGGAGUAUCACAUUGCUUCCUUUUGGUACCAGCAUAGAUAGCUUGAUACCAAGGAAAGAGCACAUAGUAAGUGCUUCCAAGGACAAAGUAUCAUUCCCAGUUUGUAAGGCCUGUGAAUGAAAGCUUGCUGAGAUUCCAUUCAUAUGUCUCUAUGACUUCAAUCAGGGCAAAUACUUCAAAGCAUAGCAGGCAAAUACAACAUCAGAGCAUCUUAUCUUAAAUAACUACAUGUUUAGCACAAGAGUUCAGUUCAAAUCAAGUCAAAAGCUUUCCAUUAAAACAAACAAAAAAAAAACCUUUUCAUUUUCAGUUCCUUUACUAACAUGAAAUGAACACUUUCAUCCAUGUCUUCCCUCCAUGCACUCUGGCUCUCUUGCAAACAUUUGGUUGCAUGUAAAUGCUUUCAAGUCCCCAAGAUCAUGCAAUAUUUUGCAGCACAAUCACCCUAAAAAUACAGUGAAUACAAGCAGUUCUCCCUCAAAAUCUGCACAAAGGCUGUCCAGGUUCAGAAUCUACAUUAUUUAGUAAGACCUUUAGUUUCUCACUCUAACAUGUGAACAAUAGGUUAAUGGUGAUUUUGUGUCUCUUCCUAGAAAUUGUUACUGGGCACAUUUUGUUCUUUUUAAAAAAAUAGUAUAAGGACCACUUGUUUUACUUUUCCAGAUCAAAUGAACAUUCUGACUUAAAUGUAAAUUCACAUUUUGUUAUAGAUACUAAAAAUAGCUUAUGCUUUCAAAUUGGCCAGUUUUUCAUUUCUUUCUUUGGGUCUCUGAGAGGAACAUGUAAUUCCUUACUGCAUAGCUGAUAUCAAGGCUUGGUAUUGGUGCUAAUGUUUUCUAUACUAACUUGUUAGCCUUCUAACAUUUUUCUGAACACUGAACAGCAAGGUAUUUCUGAAAUAAAGGCAUGGGCUCUGAAACCUUCUGCCUUUCAAAAACAAAGGAAUAUCUACUUUAAAGUGGAGAACUGUUGGAUUCUCAUACAACAUCAUCUUGAAAAGCCACUGGAUAAAUUAUACAAAUAUUAGAUAUCAAUAUUUGUAAUCAUUGCAAAUGCAGUGUAAUAAUUUUCUUUUUUCUUCCAUAAAUGUUAACUGAGAUCAUCAUCAUAUAGCCUUAGUCUCUUUUUUUAUUUCUAAGGUUCAUUUGUGAUUAACUAUGUUAACAUUCUACCAUGCAUUGCAAAUUAAAUACCAUGAUUUUCUCUUGUAGUUUACUGUGGUGUCUUAUUUAUUUAUUUAUAUAGAAGUUAUGUAUUGGAAAGACAAUUAUGUUCUUUUAUGGCAAAAAAGAAAAAGACAUUUUUGGUGUCCUCAGAUAAGAUUCUAUUAAUCAAUGUUAAGAAAAAAUUUUUUUGCGAUUAGUGCUUAUAUCAGUAAAUACCAACAAAAUUUUUAAUCUGUUAGGAUGGGAAGCCAUCACUAUUGUUCUAGCCCCAUGAAGGCAUCAAGUUAUUAGGAAAAGGGGAUAUGAAGUUAAGAAAUAAUUGAAUAUGCUUUUUGCUUUUCAAGAAUACUAAGAAAUUGAGAACUCAAUAAGAAUUACAAAAAAUAAUAUAACAAUUUAUGCAUCAAAUGUAUUCAACAUUUAGGGAAGGAUAUCAAUGAGAUACUAUUAGUUUAGGAUGGCCUAGAGGCCAAACAAUCUCUACAUCUUGAAUGGUUUCCAUUUUUAUUAUUUCAACAAGUUGUAGACAGUUACUCUAUUAAAUAUUUAUAUGUAAUAUUUUACUUCCUGCAGUGAACUGUUUUCCUAUAGUGACUCAGAAUUGGAUUUGUGAUUGCCACUUACAUUAUUAAUUUUUUGGUGUUUUGGGAUGUUUUUCAAAUUCUUGUUUUGAAUAAAAUCUAUUUUUGUGUACUUUUUCACAAAAAAAAUUGUAAAAGCAUCAAACAAAUGACCUAACAAUGUAUACCAAGAACCUAUAAAAUGAGGCUGGCACUAUGGUGUAGCGGGUAAGGCUGCUGUCUGCAGUGCUGGCAUCCUAUAGGGGCUCUAGUUCAAGUCCUGGCUGCUCCACUUCUGAUCCAUCUCUCUGCUAUGGCCUUGGAAAGGAGUAGAAGAUGGUCCAAGUCCUUGGGUCCCUGCAUCCAUGUGGGAGACCUGGAAGAAGCUCCUGGCUCCUGUCUUUGGGUGGCCCAGCUCCAGCCAUUAAGGCUAUUCAGAGAGUGGACAAGCACAUGGAAGUCCUCUCUCUCUCUCUCUGCCUCUGUAAAUCUGCCUUUCAAAUAAAUAAAUAAAUCCUUUUUUUUUAAAAAAAAGGACCUGUAAAAGUAAGAAAAUCUAAACUCAAAAUUAGUGGAAGAAAAGAAACACUAAAAAUUAAAGAAAUAAAGUUGAAACAAGACACAAAAUGAUCAGUGAAAUAAAGAUGGUAUUUUGAGAAAAUACACAAAACUGAUACACCAUUGGCCCAACUAACGAAAAAAAAAAAAUGAGGGGGAUCCAAAUCAAUAAAAUCAGAUGAAAAAGGAGACGUUACAACAGAUGCCACAGAAAUAAAAAGAACUAUCAGGAAUUACUACAGACAACAAUAUACUAACAAAAUGGAAAAUCUGGAAGAAAUGGAUAGAUUUCUGGACACAAUCAAUCUACCAAAAGUUAGGCACAAAGACAUAGAAAAUCUAAAUAGACAAAUAACCAAGACAGAUAUUGAUUCAGUAGUAAAGAUUCUCCCAAGAAAGAAAAGCCUAGGACUAGAUGGCUUCACUGUUGAAUUCUACCAGACUUUUAAAGAAGAACUAAUUCCAAUUCUUCUCAAGUUAUUCAAAAACAAUUGAAAGGGAAGAAAUCCUCCCAAACUCCUUCCAUGAGGCUGGCAUCACCAUAAUUCCAAAACCAAAAAAGAUAUAACAAAGAAACAAUAGACCGAUAUUCCUGAUGAGCAUACAUGUAAAAAUCCUCAAAAUACUAGCUAAUAGAAUCCAACAAUAAAUCAAAAAGAUUACCCACCCAGACCAAAUGGGAUUAAUCCCCCUAGAUAAAGAUAUGGUUCAACAUAUGCAAAUAAAGUGUUGGAUCACAUUAAAAAAUUGAAGAAUAAAAUCCAUACGAUUAUCUCAAUAGAUGUAGAUAAAACAUUUUAUAAAAUAUUACAGCUUUUCAUGAUAAAAAUCCUAAGUGGAUUGGGUGUAGAAUGAACAUACCUAAACUUAAGCAAGGCAUUAUUUGACAAACCCAUAGCCAGCAUCAUGCUGAAUGAUGAAAAGGUGGAAGCGUACCCAGUGAGAUGCAGAACCAGACAAGGAUGUUCACUUUCAUCAUUAAUAUUCAAUAUAGUUCUUGAAGUUUUAGCUAAAGUCAUUGUGCAAGAAAAAGAAGAAAUCAGAUGGAUACAAAUUGGAAAGAAUGAAGUCAAAUUAUUCAUGUUUGCAGAUGACAUUAUCCCAUAUGUAGGAACCUAGGGUUAAACUAAAAGACUGUUGGAACUCAUAAAAGAGUUGGGUAGAGUGGCAGGAUAUAAAAUCAACACACAAAAUUCAAUAGCAUUUAUAUAUACAAAGAAUGCCAUGGCUGAGAUGAACUUGUAACUUCAGUUCCAUUCACAGUAGCUACAAAAAAUAUUUAAAUACAUUUGGAUAUUUUUCACCAAGGAUGUGACAAAUCUCUACAAUGAAAAUUACAAAAAAAUAAGAAAUACAAGACAUUAAAAAAUGGGCAAACCUUCCUUGUUUUGGAUUAGAAGAAUUAAUAUCAUCAAAACCUCCAUACUACCCCCCAAAUAAUUUAUAUAUUCAAUGCAAUCCCAAUCAAACUACUAAGGGCAUUCAUCUCAAGUCCAGAAAAAAUGAUCCUAAAAUUCAUAUGGAAUCACAAGAGGUUCUGGGGGCCAGCACUGUGGCCUAAUAUGUUGAGCUGCUCCCUCCAAUACUAGCAUCCCAUAUGGGUGCUGGUUCAAGUCCUGUCUACUCUACUUCCUACACAGCUCCCUGAUAAUGCAUCUGGGAAAGCAGCCAAAGAUGGCUCAAGUCCUUUUGCCCCUGCACCCACAUGGAAGACCUGUAUGAAGAUCCUGUUCCUGGCUUUGUCCUGGCCUAGCCCUGGCCAUUACAGUCAUUUGAGGAGUGGAACAAUGGGUAGAAAACAUUCAUUCUCAUUUUCUCUCUCUCUCCUUCAAAUACAUAAAGAAAAUCUUAAAAGCAAGAGACUCCAAAUGGCCAAAGAAAUCUCAAACAAAAUAGCUGGAGUCAUCACAAUACCAGAUUUCAAAGCAGCUAUAAUGAAAACAGCCUAUUAUUGGCAUAAAAGUAGAGAUGCGAAAACUUAACAACUAAACGAUCCCCUGAAAAAAAUGGGUGAAGGACAUGAACAGGCACUUUUAAGAGGAUGAAAUACAAAUGGCCAACAGACACAUGAAAGAAUGCUCAUGAUCACUAGCCAUCAGGGAAAUACAAAUAAAAACCACAAAGGGUUUUAUUUCACUAUAAUUAGAAUGGCUAGCAUCCAAAAUUCAAAAAAAAAUAAUUGUUUUCAAGGAUAUAGAGGAAAAAAGUACUCUACUACUUGGUGGGAAUGUAAACUAGUUUAACUAUUAUGGAAGACAGUAUUGAGAUUCCUCAGAGAUCUGAAAAUAGAGGGAAUUUACUUAAAGGAAAGAAGAUUGGUAUAUGAUAGCUGUAUCCAAAUGUUUACAGUAUCUGAAUUCACAAUAGCUAAGAUAUGGAAUGAACCCAUGUGUGCAUCAAUUUGAUGACUGGAUAAAGAAAAUAUAGUGUAUAUACAUGAUGGAAUACUGCUCAGCCAUAAAAAACAAUGAAAUGGGUACAACUAGAGAUCAUUAUGUUUAGUAAAUAAGCCAGACCCCCAAAAGACAAAAAAUGUAUUUUCUUUGAUUUAAAACUAACAUACAGAGUACAAAGAAAGUAACAUGCAUGAGUGAAAUUGACAUCUUGAGAUGUGAUUAUUGUUUAUAGCCCUUGUUUAUAUUCCUGUGGAACAGUGGUCUUUCAAUAUUCAUUUUUCUUUAAAUAUUUUAUUUAUUUAUUUGAAAGUCAUAAGUACACAGGGAGAAGAGACAGAGAGAGAGAGAGAUCCAUCUUCCAUCUGCCGAUUCACUCCCCAAAUGGUUGCAAUGGCCGCAUCUGAGGCAGGCUGAAGCCGAGUCAGGAACUCAUUCUGGGUUUCUAAGUGGGUGCAGGGGCUGAUGUAUUCGGGCAACCUUCUGUUUCUUUUCCCAGGCCAUAAUGUAUAAGAUGAAAUUGACAUUUUGAGGUUCAAUGAUUGCUUACAGUGCUCUUUUUCUACUGCUGAGGAACAGUGUUCUUUUUCUUAUUAUUUGUUGAAUUCUUUACUUAGUAGGGUUAAUCUUAUGAGUAUAAAGUAAACUGAUAGUAGAUCAUUGUAAAAAUUGAGAGGGAAUAAGAGAAAGGGGGAGGAAGGAUGGGAGCAUGAGCAGGAGGGGAGAAUAGGGUAGGAAGUAUCACUAUGUUCCUAAAUCUGCAUAAAAGUUAGCUGGCGCCGCCGCUCACUAGGCUAAUCCUCCGCCUAGCAGCGCCGGCACACCAGGUUCUAGUCCCGGUCGGGGCGCUGGAUUCUGUCCCGGUUGCCCCUCUUCCAGGCCAGCUCUCUGCUGUGGCCAGGGAGUGCAGUGGAGGAUGGCCCAAGUGCUUGGGCCCUGCACCCCAUGGGAGACCAGGAGAAGUACCUGGCUCCUGCCAUCGGAUCAGCGCGGUGUGCAGGCCGCAGCGCACCGGCCACGGCGGCCAUUGGAGGGUGAACCAAUGGCAAA
Non-coding RNA from Oryctolagus cuniculus (rabbit), 12016 nucleotides. The record is from RefSeq and is a predicted model, not a curated record. NCBI's taxonomy places the organism in Eukaryota, Metazoa, Chordata, Mammalia, Lagomorpha, Leporidae.